RNAcentral lists this ribosomal RNA (492 nucleotides) under uncultured bacterium. RNAcentral's name for it is "partial 16S ribosomal RNA". It matches the Rfam family "Bacterial small subunit ribosomal RNA", at positions 29 to 507 of the family's 1533-position model. The record is from RNAcentral.
AGUGAACGCUGGCGGUAGGCCUAACACAUGCAAGUCGAACGGCAGCACAGUAAGAGCUUGCUCUUACGGGUGGCGAGUGGCGGACGGGUGAGGAAUACAUCGGAAUCUACUUUUUCGUGGGGGAUAACGUAGGGAAACUUACGAUAAUACCGCAUACGACCUACGGGUGAAAGCAGGGGAUCUUCUGACCUUGCGCGAUUGAAUGAGCCGAUGUCGGAUUAGCUAGUUGGCGGGGUAAAGGCCCACCAAGGCGACGAUCCGUAGCUGGUCUGAGAGGAUGAUCAGCCACACUGGACCUGAGACACGGUCCAGACUCCUACGGAAGGCAGCAGUGGGGAAUAUUGGACAAUGGGCGCAAGCCUGAUCCAGCCAUACCGCGUGGGUGAAGAAGGCCUUCGGGUUGUAAAGCCCUUUUGUUGGGAAAGAAAAGCAGCAGGUUAAUACCCCGCUGUUCUGACGGUACCCAAAGAAUAAGCACCGGCUAACUUCGUG